This is a non-coding RNA of Potamilus streckersoni, 74 nucleotides long. The record is from the annotation of a GenBank genome assembly. NCBI's taxonomy places the organism in Eukaryota, Metazoa, Mollusca, Bivalvia, Unionida, Unionidae.
AGCCUCGAUGGCAUAGUGGUUAGAGCGUCCGCCUGGAAUGCUGGAGGUCGCGGGUUUGAGCGCCGGCGGUGUUA